GCGAUACAGGGUGACAGCCCCGUACACAAAAAUGCACAUACUGUGAGCUCGAUGAGUAGGGCGGGACACGUGGUAUCCUGUCUGAAUAUGGGGGGACCAUCCUCCAAGGCUAAAUACUCCUGACUGACCGAUAGUGAACCAGUACCGUGAGGGAAAGGCGAAAAGAACCCCGGCGAGGGGAGUGAAAAAGAACCUGAAACCGUGUACGUACAAGCAGUGGGAGCCUCUUAAUGGGGUGACUGCGUACCUUUUGUAUAAUGGGUCAGCGACUUAUAUUCUGUAGCAAGGUUAACCGAAUAGGGGAGCCGAAGGGAAACCGAGUCUUAACUGGGCGUUAAGUUGCAGGGUAUAGACCCGAAACCCGGUGAUCUAGCCAUGGGCAGGUUGAAGGUUGGGUAACACUAACUGGAGGACCGAACCGACUAAUGUUGAAAAAUUAGCGGAUGACUUGUGGCUGGGGGUGAAAGGCCAAUCAAACCGGGAGAUAGCUGGUUCUCCCCGAAAGCUAUUUAGGUAGCGCCUCGUGAAUUCAUCUCCGGGGGUAGAGCACUGUUUCGGCAAGGGGGUCAUCCCGACUUACCAACCCGAUGCAAACUGCGAAUACCGGAGAAUGUUAUCACGGGAGACACACGGCGGGUGCUAACGUCCGUCGUGAAGAGGGAAACAACCCAGACCGCCAGCUAAGGUCCCAAAGUCAUGGUUAAGUGGGAAACGAUGUGGGAAGGCCCAGACAGCCAGGAUGUUGGCUUAGAAGCAGCCAUCAUUUAAAGAAAGCGUAAUAGCUCACUGGUCGAGUCGGCCUGCGCGGAAGAUGUAACGGGGCUAAACCAUGCACCGAAGCUGCGGCAGCGACACUAUGUGUUGUUGGGUAGGGGAGCGUUCUGUAAGCCUGUGAAGGUGUACUGUGAGGUAUGCUGGAGGUAUCAGAAGUGCGAAUGCUGACAUAAGUAACGAUAAAGCGGGUGAAAAGCCCGCUCGCCGGAAGACCAAGGGUUCCUGUCCAACGUUAAUCGGGGCAGGGUGAGUCGACCCCUAAGGCGAGGCCGAAAGGCGUAGUCGAUGGGAAACAGGUUAAUAUUCCUGUACUUGGUGUUACUGCGAAGGGGGGACGGAGAAGGCUAUGUUGGCCGGGCGACGGUUGUCCCGGUUUAAGCGUGUAGGCUGGUUUUCCAGGCAAAUCCGGAAAAUCAAGGCUGAGGCGUGAUGACGAGGCACUACGGUGCUGAAGCAACAAAUGCCCUGCUUCCAGGAAAAGCCUCUAAGCAUCAGGUAACAUCAAAUCGUACCCCAAACCGACACAGGUGGUCAGGUAGAGAAUACCAAGGCGCUUGAGAGAACUCGGGUGAAGGAACUAGGCAAAAUGGUGCCGUAACUUCGGGAGAAGGCACGCUGAUAUGUAGGUGAAGUCCCUCGCGGAUGGAGCUGAAAUCAGUCGAAGAUACCAGCUGGCUGCAACUGUUUAUUAAAAACACAGCACUGUGCAAACACGAAAGUGGACGUAUACGGUGUGACGCCUGCCCGGUGCCGGAAGGUUAAUUGAUGGGGUUAGCGGUAACGCGAAGCUCUUGAUCGAAGCCCCGGUAAACGGCGGCCGUAACUAUAACGGUCCUAAGGUAGCGAAAUUCCUUGUCGGGUAAGUUCCGACCUGCACGAAUGGCGUAAUGAUGGCCAGGCUGUCUCCACCCGAGACUCAGUGAAAUUGAACUCGCUGUGAAGAUGCAGUGUACCCGCGGCAAGACGGAAAGACCCCGUGAACCUUUACUAUAGCUUGACACUGAACAUUGAGCCUUGAUGUGUAGGAUAGGUGGGAGGCUUUGAAGUGUGGACGCCAGUCUGCAUGGAGCCGGCCUUGAAAUACCACCCUUUAAUGUUUGAUGUUCUAACGUUGGCCCCUGAUCGGGGUUGCGGACAGUGUCUGGUGGGUAGUUUGACUGGGGCGGUCUCCUCCUAAAGAGUAACGGAGGAGCACGAAGGUUGGCUAAUCCUGGUCGGACAUCAGGAGGUUAGUGCAAUGGCAUAAGCCAGCUUGACUGCGAGCGUGACGGCGCGAGCAGGUGCGAAAGCAGGUCAUAGUGAUCCGGUGGUUCUGAAUGGAAGGGCCAUCGCUCAACGGAUAAAAGGUACUCCGGGGAUAACAGGCUGAUACCGCCCAAGAGUUCAUAUCGACGGCGGUGUUUGGCACCUCGAUGUCGGCUCAUCACAUCCUGGGGCUGAAGUAGGUCCCAAGGGUAUGGCUGUUCGCCAUUUAAAGUGGUACGCGAGCUGGGUUUAGAACGUCGUGAGACAGUUCGGUCCCUAUCUGCCGUGGGCGCUGGAGAACUGAGGGGGGCUGCUCCUAGUACGAGAGGACCGGAGUGGACGCAUCACUGGUGUUCGGGUUGUCAUGCCAAUGGCACUGCCCGGUAGCUAAAUGCGGAAGAGAUAAGUGCUGAAAGCAUCUAAGCACGAAACUUGCCCCGAGAUGAGUUCUCCCUGACUCCUUGAG
Molecule: ribosomal RNA, 2485 nt
Filed under: Escherichia coli
Lineage: Bacteria; Pseudomonadati; Pseudomonadota; Gammaproteobacteria; Enterobacterales; Enterobacteriaceae
Description: bacterial LSU rRNA
Rfam family: Bacterial large subunit ribosomal RNA
Source: RNAcentral